CAGCCGCCGCGGGAAUACAGAGGGUGCGAGCGUUAAUCGGAUUUACUGGGCGUAAAGCGUGCGUAGGCGGCUUUUUAAGUCGGAUGUGAAAUCCCUGAGCUUAACUUAGGAAUUGCAUUCGAUACUGGGAAGCUAGAGUAUGGGAGAGGAUGGUAGAAUUCCAGGUGUAGCGGUGAAAUGCGUAGAGAUCUGGAGGAAUACCGAUGGCGAAGGCAGCCAUCUGGCCUAAUACUGACGCUGAGGUACGAAAGCAUGGGGAGCAAACAGGAUUAGAUACCCCCGUAGUCCCUGUCUUUAUACC
Molecule: ribosomal RNA, 301 nt
Filed under: uncultured bacterium
Lineage: Bacteria
Description: partial 16S ribosomal RNA
Rfam family: Bacterial small subunit ribosomal RNA
Source: RNAcentral